GCGCCCGUAGCUCAGCUGGAUAGAGCGCCGGGCUUCGAACCCGUAGGUCGGAGGUUCGAAUCCUCCCGGGCGCA
Molecule: transfer RNA, 74 nt
Filed under: Acidobacteriota bacterium
Lineage: Bacteria; Pseudomonadati; Acidobacteriota
Description: Acidobacteria bacterium tRNA-Arg
Rfam family: tRNA
About the family: Transfer RNA (tRNA) molecules are approximately 80 nucleotides in length.
Source: RNAcentral